GAUGAACGCUGGCGGCGUGCCUAAUACAUGCAAGUCGAACGCAUUUUCUUUCACCGUAGCUUGCUACACCGAGAGAAGAUGGGUGGCGAACGGGUGAGUAACACUUCGGUAACCUGCCCAUCAGCUGCGGGUAACCCUUGGUAACAGGUGCUAAUACCUCAUAAUUCAAUUUACCACAUGGUAAAUGGAUUAAAGUCGCUUUUGCGUCACUGAUGGAUGGGCCCGCGGUAGAUUGUCUGGUUGGGGAUGUAAAGGGCUACCAAGGGUGAGAAGCAUAGGCGACCUGAGAGGGUGGAUGGCCCCACCGGGAACGAGAAACGGCUCAGAACUCCUCGGGAGGCAGCAGUAGGGAAAUCUUGGCAAAGGACGCAAGGCUGACCGAGCCAAGCCGGGGGAGUGAAGAAGGGUUUCGGAUCGUAAAAAUCUUUUGUUAGAGAAGAACAAGGAGGGGAGUUGAAUGUGCACGUCUUGACGGUACCUAACCAGAAAGCCACGGCUAACUACGUG
RNAcentral lists this ribosomal RNA (507 nucleotides) under uncultured bacterium. Its description in RNAcentral is "partial 16S ribosomal RNA". It matches the Rfam family "Bacterial small subunit ribosomal RNA", at positions 28 to 507 of the family's 1533-position model. The record is from RNAcentral.